RNAcentral lists this ribosomal RNA (230 nucleotides) under Bacillus velezensis. Its description in RNAcentral is "partial 16S ribosomal RNA". It matches the Rfam family "Bacterial small subunit ribosomal RNA", at positions 1 to 220 of the family's 1533-position model. The record is from RNAcentral. Lineage: Bacteria; Bacillati; Bacillota; Bacilli; Caryophanales; Bacillaceae.
UUUAUCGGAGAGUUUGAUCCUGGCUCAGGACGAACGCUGGCGGCGUGCCUAAUACAUGCAAGUCGAGCGGACAGAUGGGAGCUUGCUCCCUGAUGUUAGCGGCGGACGGGUGAGUAACACGUGGGUAACCUGCCUGUAAGACUGGGAUAACUCCGGGAAACCGGGGCUAAUACCGGAUGGUUGUCUGAACCGCAUGGUUCAGACAUAAAAGGUGGCUUCGGCUACCACUU